RNAcentral lists this long non-coding RNA (606 nucleotides) under Sorghum bicolor (sorghum). Its description in RNAcentral is "long non-coding RNA (SBIC_LNC012215)". The record is from RNAcentral. Lineage: Eukaryota; Viridiplantae; Streptophyta; Magnoliopsida; Poales; Poaceae.
ACUUCCAAAGGAUUUUAAAAUUAAGUGAGGUGCUUAGGUUAAAAUGCCUUCCAAGAUCAAAUUAGACGUGGUGUCUAGGUUGAUGUUUGAGCCGAUAGUAUGUUGUAGUAGACAUAGGAUAUUUAGUUGGACUAACCCCUAUACAAAAACUCUCACACUCAAUUGGGGAAAGUCCAGAGUCAAACUCACACUAGAGAUGAACCAAGGCACAUGAUGAACUCCAACAACUUUACAUAAGAAGACACAACUCAUUCAUCAUAAAUACAUACUUCAUUCAUCAUGGAUGGAAGAACUAUAAGAAUUAAAGUUCAUUCACUUUAGCUUCAUCUGCAAGUUAUCUUUGUCUUAAGCCAUGCCUUGUAUAGAAUAUGAUCUAAUUCAAUCACCACCUUUUCAUUAGCAUAGGUGUAACUAAUAAAAUUUCUGGACAAACAACCUGUAUCCCAAAUUUGAGUUUUCCUUCACGUAUAUGUGGUCCACUAAUCUUCUACGGGCAUAGAAUAAUGAGUGAGGCAAAAAGGUCUAACAAGGUGUCAAAAUAUCAAAAAGCAAAAAGAUGACAUGAUAAAAGAAUGAGAAAGGAGUGUGAUAAAGGAGACAAGUUGC